Molecule: non-coding RNA, 246 nt
Organism: Cinara cedri
Lineage: Eukaryota; Metazoa; Arthropoda; Insecta; Hemiptera; Aphididae
Source: the annotation of a GenBank genome assembly
UGCACACUCUCUAAAGCCUAUCAAUGCUAGGACUUGUAGGGUAUUCAAAUUGUUCAAGUGAAUGUUAACCUGCCAUUUUAAGAUGUAUUAGCUACGACGUGGUUUAUGAAUAGAAGAAAAUCAACAAUAUUAUGAAAUUCAAUUUGCCGUUAUUGUACACACUUCUGUAAUAAUUCGCACUUAACACACAACACCAUAAUUAGUUUUCAUUCAAUGCAGGUAUAAGAAUGCUACACAUCGAAUUAA